AUUUGUAUAGUUUAAAGAAAACCUUACAUUUUCAUUGUAAAAUUGGAAAUUCCUACAAAUA
Molecule: transfer RNA, 61 nt
Filed under: Bostrichoidea sp. 5 KM-2017
Lineage: Eukaryota; Metazoa; Arthropoda; Insecta; Coleoptera
Description: tRNA-Glu
Rfam family: tRNA
About the family: Transfer RNA (tRNA) molecules are approximately 80 nucleotides in length.
Source: RNAcentral